Long non-coding RNA from Etheostoma spectabile (orangethroat darter), 409 nucleotides. RefSeq lists it as uncharacterized. Lineage: Eukaryota; Metazoa; Chordata; Actinopteri; Perciformes; Percidae. The record is from RefSeq and is a predicted model, not a curated record. The transcript is spliced from 3 exons.
AUUUAAUUCAAUAAAUAUACAGUCCAUGGUUUAAUCUCAUUUCAAAAAAGAGCUAUGAUUGAUUAUUUAUGCCUGAAAAGGUCGGAAGCGGGAGCACUCUCAACACUAUGCCCUCAACGCGACAGCUUCAUUCUCGGUGAAGCUACCGGAGAGAAAGCAUAUCGUCAUAUUGUCUCUUCAGUGACCAUUUAUAUCUCCCUUUCCCGGGUCUAAGCUACAGCUACAAAGACUACAAAGACACCAACCAUAUAGCUGGAAAGCUGGAGCUAAUGGCUAUUCAACUAAAACAAGAUGCUGGGUUCCAAGGUUGCAGAGCAAAUUGAAAAUAAAGUGUUGGGCAGUACCACUGCACAAACCCAGCAGCAGACAUGAAUCCGUAGGCGGUCAUUUGAUAGACGGCACCGGCAUG